RNAcentral lists this ribosomal RNA (254 nucleotides) under uncultured bacterium. Its description in RNAcentral is "partial 16S ribosomal RNA". It matches the Rfam family "Bacterial small subunit ribosomal RNA", at positions 524 to 776 of the family's 1533-position model. The record is from RNAcentral.
UACGUAGGGGGCAAGCGUUGUCCGGAUUUAUUGGGCGUAAAGAGCUCGUAGGCGGUUCGGUAAGUCGGAUGUGAAAUCUCCAGGCUCAACCUGGAGGGGUCAUUCGAUACUGCCGUGACUAGAGUUCGGUAGGGGAGUGUGGAAUUCCUGGUGGAGCGGUGAAAUGCGCAGAUAUCAGGAGGAACACCCGUAGCGAAGGCGGCACUCUGGGCCGAUACUGACACUGAGGCGCGAAAGCCAGGGGAGCAAACGGG